This 339-nucleotide unclassified non-coding RNA is filed under the name soil metagenome. RNAcentral describes it as "partial contains 5.8S ribosomal RNA, internal transcribed spacer 2, and large subunit ribosomal RNA". The stretch from base 2 to 120 matches the Rfam family "5.8S ribosomal RNA", at positions 36 to 154 of the family's 154-position model. The record is from RNAcentral.
UAUGAAGAACGUAGCGAAAUGCGAUAAGUAGUGUGAAUUGCAGAAUUCAGUGAAUCAUCGAAUCUUUGAACGCACAUUGCGCCCUUUGGUAUUCCUUAGGGCAUGCCUGUUCGAGCGUCAUUUAAACCUUCAAGCUCAGCUUGGUGUUGGGUGACUGUCCGCCGCCUCCGGGCGCGUGGACUCGCCUCAAAAUUAUUGGCGGCCGGUACAUUGGCUUCGAGCGCAGCAGAAACGCGAACUCGGGCCCGUCGUAUUGGCUCCCAGAAGCUAUCUUCACAAUUUUGACCUCGGAUCAGGUAGGGAUACCCGCUGAACUUAAGCAUAUCAAUAAGCGGAGGA